Molecule: ribosomal RNA, 253 nt
Filed under: uncultured bacterium
Lineage: Bacteria
Description: partial 16S ribosomal RNA
Rfam family: Bacterial small subunit ribosomal RNA
Source: RNAcentral
UACGUAGGGGGCAAGCGUUGUCCGGAUUUAUUGGGCGUAAAGAGCGUGUAGGCGGCUAGGUAGGUCCGUUGUGAAAACUCGAGGCUCAACCUCGAGACGCCGGUGGAAACCAUCUAGCUAGAGUCCGGAAGAGGAGAGUGGAAUUCCUGGUGUAGCGGUGAAAUGCGCAGAUAUCAGGAAGAACACCAAUGGCGAAGGCAGCUCUCUGGGACGGUACUGACGCUGAGACGCGAAAGCGUGGGGAGCGAACAGG